RNAcentral lists this ribosomal RNA (139 nucleotides) under uncultured eukaryote. RNAcentral describes it as "partial 18S ribosomal RNA". It matches the Rfam family "Eukaryotic small subunit ribosomal RNA", at positions 1299 to 1458 of the family's 1831-position model. The record is from RNAcentral.
UGGUGGAGUGAUUUGUCUGGUUAAUUCCGUUAACGAACGAGACCUCAGCCUACUAAAUAGUGGCUGCAUUUUCACAAAUGUAGUCAACUUCUUAGAGGGACUAUGCGUGUUUAACGCAUGGAAGUUUGAGGCAAUAACA